GACGAACGCUGGCGGCGUGCUUAACACAUGCAAGUCGAACGGAAAGGCCCCUUCGGGGGUACUCGAGUGGCGAACAGGUGAGUAACACGUGAGUAACCUGCCCUUGACUUCGGGAUAACUUCAGGAAACUGGGGCUAAUACCGGAUAGGAAUCCUUGCUGCAUGGUGGGGGUUGGAAAGCUUCGGCGGUUUUGUAUGGACUCGCGGCUUAUCAGCUUGUUGGUGGGGUAGUGGCUUACCAAGGCUUUGACGGGUAGCCGGCCUGAGAGGGCGACCGGCCACAUUGGGACUGAGAUACGGCCCAGACUCCUACGGGAGGCAGCAGUGGGGAAUAUUGCACAAUGGGCGGAAGCCUGAUGCAGCAACGCCGCGUGCGGGAUGACGGCCUUCGGGUUGUAAACCGCUUUCAGCAGGGGCGAAGCUUGUGGUGACGGUACCUGCAGAAGAAGCACCGGCUAACUACGUG
RNAcentral lists this ribosomal RNA (465 nucleotides) under uncultured bacterium. RNAcentral describes it as "partial 16S ribosomal RNA". It matches the Rfam family "Bacterial small subunit ribosomal RNA", at positions 28 to 507 of the family's 1533-position model. The record is from RNAcentral.